This 433-nucleotide ribosomal RNA is filed under the name uncultured bacterium. Its description in RNAcentral is "partial 16S ribosomal RNA". It matches the Rfam family "Bacterial small subunit ribosomal RNA", at positions 29 to 507 of the family's 1533-position model. The record is from RNAcentral.
AGCGAACGCUGGCGGCAGGCUUAACACAUGCAAGUCGAGCGGACCUUUCGGGGUCAGCGGCGGACGGGUGAGUAACGCGUGGGAACGUGCCUUCCGGUUCGGAAUAACCCUGGGAAACUAGGGCUAAUACCGGAUACGCCCUUAUGGGGAAAGGUUUACUGCCGGAAGAUCGGCCCGCGUCUGAUUAGCUAGUUGGUGGGGUAACGGCCUACCAAGGCGACGAUCAGUAGCUGGUCUGAGAGGAUGAUCAGCCACACUGGGACUGCGACACGGCCCAGACUCCUACGGGAGGCAGCAGUGGGGAAUAUUGGACAAUGGGCGCAAGCCUGAUCCAGCCAUGCCGCGUGAGUGAUGAAGGCCGUAGGGUUGUAAAGCUCUUUUAUCCGGGACGAUAAUGACGGUACCGGAGGAAUAAGCCCCGGCUAACUUCGUG